AUGACUCACAUGGGCCAGUUGUUGUCCCACACCCCAUCCACCGAUAACUGUUCUCUAGUAAACUGGUAGACAUACGAACUCUAUUUACAUCAUAAAUCCCUUUCCCCCCUCACCCGACAGUUUCGUUCUCGACAAAAUGGAUCAAUACGGCGUGCCCAAAGUCCUACAGACCUUGCUAUCAUAUGCUGUCUACGACUAUGGUGACGCCAUUCGCGGAAUAGUCACCGCUGCAGGCCCUUUAACAAUCGCUACGCUUUUGCCCAUUAAACAGCUGUACUGUUAUCUAGCAAUGUGAAGCAGUUAUAAUAGUUCAAAAAACAGAUCUCACUGUAGCCAGUGCCCAGCAAAUGAUGCACAUGACCAACCGGUAUUGACAGCUUAAAAUAAUAUUGUUUAACCGUGUCGGUACAUUUUUAUCGAUACGGUUUUAUGUGAGGAAUAAAAGUUUAUGGCUGUUAUCGUUUUGUAUUACAACUUGCUAUUUUUUCCCCCUUUCGUUUUGUUUGUCGGUCGUGGUGGUGGUUGAUGUUAUUAAAGUCGAAACUCUUGUAGUAG
Daphnia magna is the source of this 555-nucleotide long non-coding RNA. RefSeq lists it as uncharacterized. The transcript has 2 exons. The record is from RefSeq and is a predicted model, not a curated record. NCBI's taxonomy places the organism in Eukaryota, Metazoa, Arthropoda, Branchiopoda, Diplostraca, Daphniidae.